Molecule: ribosomal RNA, 497 nt
Filed under: uncultured bacterium
Lineage: Bacteria
Description: partial 16S ribosomal RNA
Rfam family: Bacterial small subunit ribosomal RNA
Source: RNAcentral
GAUGAACGCUGGCGGCGUGCCUAAUACAUGCAAGUCGAGCGAACGGACGAGAAGCUUGCUUCUCUGAUGUUAGCGGCGGACGGGUGAGUAACACGUGGAUAACCUACCUAUAAGACUGGGAUAACUUCGGGAAACCGGAGCUAAUACCGGAUAAUAUUUUGAACCGCAUGGUUCAAAAGUGAAAGACGGUCUUGCUGUCACUUAUAGAUGGAUCCGCGCUGCAUUAGCUAGUUGGUAAGGUAACGGCUUACCAAGGCAACGAUGCAUAGCCGACCUGAGAGGGUGAUCGGCCACACGGGAACUGGGACACGGUCCAGACUCCUACGGGAGGCAGCAGUAGGGAAUCUUCCGCAAUGGGCGAAAGCCUGACGGAGCAACGCCGCGUGAGUGAUGAAGGUCUUCGGAGCGUAAAACUCUGUUAUUAGGGAAGAACAUAUGUGUAAGUAACUGUGCACAUCUUGACGGUACCUAAUCAGAAAGCCACGGCUAACUACGUG